GCCGGGGUGGCGGAAUCGGUAUACGCAGGGGACUUAAAAUCCUCGGUCCGGAGACGGACACGCGGGUUCGACUCCCGCCCCCGGCACCA
Molecule: transfer RNA, 89 nt
Filed under: Armatimonadota bacterium
Lineage: Bacteria; Bacillati; Armatimonadota
Description: Armatimonadetes bacterium tRNA-Leu
Rfam family: tRNA
About the family: Transfer RNA (tRNA) molecules are approximately 80 nucleotides in length.
Source: RNAcentral